AAGAGCAAACUUAGAUAUUUAUGGCAAUUAUGAGUCUGCUUUGUGUUCCAGCCACAAGGAGAGAAAUCCGAUCUGCCUCCAGAGGAAAAGAGCCGAGCCCCGCGGAAGCCUUGAGGACACCGUGCCCUGCGCUCGCUGACUCAAGCCCCUGGACAGACUUCUCUCCUCGGUCAGUGCCCGCGGGGAACUCUGGCCUGGGAACACCUGGAGACACGCGUUAGCCAAACGCGCAUCGGCUGGGGAACGGAUGGAGAAACGGGGGUGCAGGCUGCUAGUUGGGUGUUCCAAUCAAAGUGUCUGAAGAAAUGCCGACACCACCCAGUACGGCUUAAACUGAGCAACCUAACGGAAAAUACUCCAAAUGUCAACGGAGGAAACAAGGCACUUUCUGAGCCCAGGCCGCGGAGCCCGAGGCACAGUGUGCCUGAGGGGCGCCAUCCCAGGCCGGCAAGAGGAAGGCAGAAGGGGAGUGAGCCAGGCUCCACGUUAUGCUGGUCUCGGGUGGACAGGAGAACCCAGCGAGGUCUGCUGUUCGGUUCACUCGGGUGAGUCCACCCACACGGGAGGCGGGGUGACCCUGGGGAGACACCUGCAUCGGGUUGAAUGCAGUAGAAGGAGGCUAAUGCACAUUCCCAGUCUCACCGCUGGCACCUGGCCGAGCUGGGAUUGAACCCACACAGUCUGGCUCAAACGAAGAUGGGCCUCACUCACUACACUAUGCCUCUGGGGUCAGACAGAGAGCUUCCCUCCCUGGGAGGUCAGUGGUGCCAUCAGGGGGAAGCUCAGAGCGGGGGGCCCGGGCAGAGGGUAGAGGAGCCCCCUCCCUGCCCCCAGCCCCAAGGAAGAGCUAUCCUGGACACGAAGACAGGGUGGAGAUUUUGUUGUCAGUGUCAUUUUCCCCUUCGCUCCAUUUUGCUGUGUUCUCUAGCACCUGUCUGCCCCGUUCUAGCCAUC
This is a long non-coding RNA of Myotis brandtii (Brandt's bat), 954 nucleotides long. RefSeq lists it as uncharacterized. The record is from RefSeq and is a predicted model, not a curated record. The transcript has 3 exons. NCBI's taxonomy places the organism in Eukaryota, Metazoa, Chordata, Mammalia, Chiroptera, Vespertilionidae.